This 482-nucleotide ribosomal RNA is filed under the name uncultured bacterium. RNAcentral's name for it is "partial 16S ribosomal RNA". It matches the Rfam family "Bacterial small subunit ribosomal RNA", at positions 29 to 507 of the family's 1533-position model. The record is from RNAcentral.
AUUGAACGCUGGCGGCAUGCUUUACACAUGCAAGUCGAACGGGAACAGGCCGCAAGGUGCUGACGAGGGGCGCACGGGGGAGUAAAGCAUCGGAACGUGCCCGGACGUGGGGGAUAACUACUCGUAAGAGUAGGUAAGACCGCAUACGAUCUAUGGAUGAAAGCGGGGGGCCGAAAGGGCUCGCGCGAUUGGAGCGGGCGAUGUAAGAUUAGGUAGUUGGUGGGGUAAAGGGUCACUCAGCGAACGAGCUGUAGCAGGUCUGAGGGGACGACCAGCCACACUGGCACUGAGACACGGCCCAGACUCCUACGGUGGGCAGCAGUGGGGAAUUUUGGACAAUGGGCGCAAGCCUGAUCCAGCAAUGCCGCGUGCAGGAAGAAGGCCUUCGGGUUGUAAACUGCUUUUGUCCGGAACGUAACGGCUCUGGUUAAUACCCGGGGCUAAUGACGGUACCGUAAGAAUAAGCUCCGGCUAACUCCGUG